Molecule: ribosomal RNA, 253 nt
Filed under: uncultured bacterium
Lineage: Bacteria
Description: partial 16S ribosomal RNA
Rfam family: Bacterial small subunit ribosomal RNA
Source: RNAcentral
UACGGAGGGUGCAAGCGUUGUCCGGAUUUAUUGGGUUUAAAGGGUGCGUAGGUGGCUUGUUAAGUCCGGGGUGAAAGCCCACAGCUCAACUGUGGAACUGCCCUGGAUACUGGCGAGCUUGAGUCCAGACGAGGUUGGCGGAAUGGAAGCUGUAGCGGUGAAAUGCAUAGUUAGCUUCCAGAACCCCGAUUGCGUAGGCAGCUGACUAGGCUGGUACUGACACUGAGGCACGAAAGCGUGGGGAGCGAACAGG